ACCUGCGGAGGGAUCAUUACCGAGUUAUACAACUCAUCAACCCUGUGAACAUACCUAAAACGUUGCUUCGGCGGGAACAGACGGCCCCGUAACACGGGCCGCCCCCGCCAGAGGACCCCUAACUCUGUUUUUAUAAUGUUUUUCUGAGUAAACAAGCAAAUAAAUUAAAACUUUCAACAACGGAUCUCUUGGCUCUGGCAUCGAUGAAGAACGCAGCGAAAUGCGAUAAGUAAUGUGAAUUGCAGAAUUCAGUGAAUCAUCGAAUCUUUGAACGCACAUUGCGCCCGCCAGUAUUCUGGCGGGCAUGCCUGUUCGAGCGUCAUUACAACCCUCAGGCCCCCGGGCCUGGCGUUGGGGAUCGGCGGAAGCCCCCUGCGGGCACACGCCGUCCCUCAAAUACAGUGGCGGUCCCGCCGCAGCUUCCAUUGCGUAGUAGCUAACACCUCGCAACUGGAGAGCGGCGCGGCCACGCCGUAAAACACCCAACUUCUGAAUGUUGACCUCGAAUCAGGUAGGAAUACCCGCUGAACUUAAGCAUAUCAAU
Molecule: ribosomal RNA, 544 nt
Filed under: Fusarium sp.
Lineage: Eukaryota; Fungi; Ascomycota; Sordariomycetes; Hypocreales; Nectriaceae
Description: eukaryotic LSU rRNA
Rfam family: 5.8S ribosomal RNA (bases 169-322)
Source: RNAcentral